This 89-nucleotide unclassified non-coding RNA is filed under the name Pseudomonas jessenii. The record is from RNAcentral. Lineage: Bacteria; Pseudomonadati; Pseudomonadota; Gammaproteobacteria; Pseudomonadales; Pseudomonadaceae.
UGUGGGAGCGAGCUUGCUCGCGAUAGCGUCUACCUGUUUGCUAUUGAUUUGACUGGAAAACUGCUAUCGCGAGCAAGCUCGCUCCCACA